RNAcentral lists this ribosomal RNA (440 nucleotides) under uncultured bacterium. Its description in RNAcentral is "partial 16S ribosomal RNA". It matches the Rfam family "Bacterial small subunit ribosomal RNA", at positions 338 to 795 of the family's 1533-position model. The record is from RNAcentral.
CCUACGGGAGGCAGCAGUGGGGAAUAUUGCACAAUGGGGGAAACCCUGAUGCAGCGACGCAGCGUGAGUGAAGAAGUCUUUCGGUAUGUAAAGCUCUAUCAGCAGGGAAGAUAAUGACGGUACCUGACUAAGAAGCCCCGUCUAACUACGUGCCAGAAGCGGCGGUAAUACGUAGGGGGCAAGCGUUAUCCGGAUUUACUGGGUGUAAAGGGGGCGUAGAUGGCAGGGCAAGUCAGAUGUGAAAGCCCGGGGCUCAACCCCGGUACUGCAUUUGAAACUGUCCAGCUGGAGUACAGGAGAGGUAAGCGGAAUUCCUAGUGUAGCGGUGAAAUGCGUAGAUAUUAGGAGGAACACCAGUGGCGAAGGCGGCUUACUGGACUGUAACUGACACUGAGGCACGAAAGCGUGGGGAGCAAACAGGAUUAGAUACCCCGGUAGUC